GACGAACGCUGGCGGCGUGCCUAAUACAUGCAAGUUGAGCGCUGAAGGUUGGUACUUGUACCGACUGGAUGAGCAGCGAACGGGUGAGUAACGCGUGGGGAAUCUGCCUUUGAGCGGGGGACAACAUUUGGGAACGAAUGCUAAUACCGCAUAAAAACUUUAAACACAAGUUUUAAGUUUGAAAGAUGCAAUUGCAUCACUCAAAGAUGAUCCCGCGUUGUAUUAGCUAGUUGGUGAGGUAAAGGCUCACCAAGGCGAUGAUACAUAGCCGACCUGAGAGGGUGAUCGGCCACAUUGGGACUGAGACACGGCCCAAACUCCUACGGGAGGCAGCAGUAGGGAAUCUUCGGCAAUGGACGAAAGUCUGACCGAGCAACGCCGCGUGAGUGAAGAAGGUUUUCGGAUCGUAAAACUCUGUUGGUAGAGAAGAACGUUGGUGAGAGUGGAAAGCUCAUCAAGUGACGGUAACUACCCAGAAAGGGACGGCUAACUACGUG
Molecule: ribosomal RNA, 497 nt
Filed under: uncultured bacterium
Lineage: Bacteria
Description: partial 16S ribosomal RNA
Rfam family: Bacterial small subunit ribosomal RNA
Source: RNAcentral